This 800-nucleotide ribosomal RNA is filed under the name Massilia sp. RNAcentral's name for it is "bacterial SSU rRNA". It matches the Rfam family "Bacterial small subunit ribosomal RNA", at positions 64 to 860 of the family's 1533-position model. The record is from RNAcentral. Lineage: Bacteria; Pseudomonadati; Pseudomonadota; Betaproteobacteria; Burkholderiales; Oxalobacteraceae.
CGACGGUACANGGAGCUUGCUCCGCUGACGAGUGGCGAACGGGUGAGUAAUAUAUCGGAACGUACCCAAGAGUGGGGGAUAACGUAGCGAAAGUUACGCUAAUACCGCAUACGAUCUANGGAUGAAAGCAGGGGACCGCAAGGCCUUGUGCUCCUGGAGCGGCCGAUAUCUGAUUAGCUAGUUGGUAGGGUAAAGGCCUACCAAGGCAUCGAUCAGUAGCUGGUCUGAGAGGACGACCAGCCACACUGGAACUGAGACACGGUCCAGACUCCUACGGGAGGCAGCAGUGGGGAAUUUUGGACAAUGGGCGCAAGCCUGAUCCAGCAAUGCCGCGUGAGUGAAGAAGGCCUUCGGGUUGUAAAGCUCUUUUGUCAGGGAAGAAACGGGCGAGGCUAAUAUCCUCGUCUAAUGACGGUACCUGAAGAAUAAGCACCGGCUAACUACGUGCCAGCAGCCGCGGUAAUACGUAGGGUGCAAGCGUUAAUCGGAAUUACUGGGCGUAAAGCGUGCGCAGGCGGUUUUGUAAGUUUGUCGUGAAAUCCCCGGGCUCAACCUGGGAAUGGCGAUGAAGACUGCAAGGCUAGAAUCUGGCAGANGGGGGUAGAAUUCCACGUGUAGCAGUGAAAUGCGUAGAGAUGUGGAGGAACACCGAUGGCGAANGCAGCCCCCUGGGUCAAGAUUGACGCUCAUGCACGAAAGCGUGGGGAGCAAACAGGAUUAGAUACCCUGGUAGUCCACGCCCUAAACGAUGUCUACUANUUGUCGGGUCUUAAUUUGACUUGGUAACGCANCUAACGCGU